RNAcentral lists this long non-coding RNA (204 nucleotides) under Arabidopsis lyrata. RNAcentral describes it as "long non-coding RNA (ALYR_LNC001689)". The record is from RNAcentral. Lineage: Eukaryota; Viridiplantae; Streptophyta; Magnoliopsida; Brassicales; Brassicaceae.
AUAUCACAUAUGUAAACAACAUUCCUCAGGAAUGGCUCUUUUGAGCUCUAAUUAAUUUCGGAUGACAAAAAAAAAAAGUUGAGAAUAGAGUUGCUCUAUAUAUAGAGUCAAUCUGCAGAAAUCUCUAUUUUAGAGUCAAUUAUAGAGUAGGGUUGGAGAAGAAUUUUGCAUUUUUACUCUAAAAUAGAGUAGGGUUGGAGAUGC